Molecule: long non-coding RNA, 1493 nt
Organism: Hevea brasiliensis (rubber tree)
Lineage: Eukaryota; Viridiplantae; Streptophyta; Magnoliopsida; Malpighiales; Euphorbiaceae
Exons: 3
Source: RefSeq, a predicted model, not a curated record
UACAUCCAUAAUGAUUCACUCUCUUGUUCUGCUUUCCAUCUCCACUCACCUGUUACAUGCACAAUGCCAUGAAAAGCAAAGCAUAUCAGCAUCAGAGGGAAAUGGGUUAGAUGCCCAUCUCCAGUAAGUUUUGUAACAAACAAUGAAUAUAACCAUUCUCAAACAGUCAAAAAAGUUAGCUAAAAAAAAAAAGGCAACCCCAUCCCUUCCCCUUUUUAUUUUUUUGGUUUCACCCAUUUCACCACUCUAAUCAUUGUUCAGGCACAAGCAAAAGAAAACAAGUGGGUGGAGGGCAUGACCAUGAUUAGCACCUGCUUCUAAUAUCCAACCAUCUUUCCCCAACCUGAAAACCCAAUACAACCCCACCUCCGAAAAUAAGGCCAUCUCCAUCCACGUUCUUAGGUGCAAAGCAUAACAGCAUAAUCAUUUGGAGAUAACCCGCAUAUGCCAAUUUAACGUUAUAAAGAUUCUGUAGAUUGAUUUCAUUUGUUUGAUCUGGGUGGAAUAAUCCAAUCCAUUGUAUACGAAGCUGCAAGAGACUGCUCAUAGGAUCAAGAAGAGGAAAACCAUAUAUAGAUAAAGAGAGUUUUACCUUGUUGACCGUACUCCUGGCGGCCACGGCGCAGAAUAGGUGCACAGCUCUAGUGUGCUCUUGCUAUGUACCUUCGAGGAACUAUAGCAACAAAGGGGAGGAAAACAACAGAAGCAACAAUAACAAGAAGCAAAUUCUUGAAGAAAAGAAAGAUGGGGUCAUGGAAGAAGUCCCUAAUAAUCAUGAAUCACAAGGACAAGAAAGGGGCAAUGGUGGGAGUAACAGUGGAAGCGGUGGGUCUAAUGGGCCUCACAUUGAACCCCCUACUCUCAAGAGUAACCUCAAGAGAACUACAACAGUGGAGGAAAUUAAUCAAUCAAGAACAGAAAAGAGGAAAGUGAGUUGGCCUGAUGCUCAUGGCAAUGAUAUUGCUCAUGUUCACGAGUUUGAGCCAAGCUUGUCCGAAGACGGGGAACUUGAAGGAGUAAGAAACACUUGUAUUUGUACAAUUCAAUGAAGCAAGAACUCAUCCAGGGUGGAUAACAUUUGACAGUAUUCACAUUCUAGCCUCCUGCUGCAAUCAGACUGAAGCCAUUCAAUUUAGCAAGCUCUAGCACAUUGAAAACAGAAAAAUGUGCAGAAGAAAAUCAAAAUGUAAAGAAGUCACUAAAAUGAAAUCGAUUCCACUGGUUUGCAAGUAGUAGCGUCUUUAUUAUUUCUUUCUUUCUUUUUCGUUCUCUACAAUAAACUCUAGAAAUUUAGUUUAAAAAAGGAGCUCGUGGGACGUUUGAGACAAACUUCUUUUAACUACUCACCAGGUACAGAGAUGAUGAAGCUCCAAAUAACUACUCACCAGUCCUUAAUGUGGGAGUUCAAAGAUCUAUGCUAUGAGCCAAAAACUUAUAAAAGUUCAUUUCAUUUUAUUACAUUGUAAACUGUAGAAUCAACUUUCAUGUUGAAA